This 2669-nucleotide unclassified non-coding RNA is filed under the name Schistocerca americana (American grasshopper). Lineage: Eukaryota; Metazoa; Arthropoda; Insecta; Orthoptera; Acrididae. The record is from RNAcentral.
GUUGUCUUUGUAACAUUUGCGAAACGUGGCGUCCAUUUUCCUCAAUAUAGGAAAAGGAAGGUAUUGGAGCUACUGUUUGAAGCUUAGUAACUCGGAAUGGGUUCCACAAAGAAACAUAAACACAGUGAAUCAAAGAAAAAGAAACAUCGUAGUAGAUCACGAAGUCCCGAGAGGAAAGAAAGGCAUCGCCAUCACAAGAAACAUCACAAGGAGAAAAAGAAAGACAAACUAACUUCGAAAGAAAGAAAUGGAGAAUAUGCGCCGAAGCACGACAGCUACGAAAGCGAAGAUGAUGAUGUUGUGGUUGUACCACCCCCUCCAAAAAUCUCGGCAAGACCUUCACCACCACCACCGCCAUCAAUAUCGUUAUCAAAGAGCAAAGAAAAUGAUGCUGCUGCUGCUGCUUCUACUAAUGCCGCCACUGCCACUGCUACUCCUGCAACUGACACUCAGUCCUACCAGUCAUUAUCAAUCGAAGAGACAAAUAGAUUGCGAGCACGACUGGGGUUGAAACCAUUGGCAGUAGAACCUGCUGCCCCAACGGCCGAACAGAAAGAAAAAAUGAAAGAGAGAGAGGAAUCGGGAGCAACACUUGGUGGAACAGACAUGGGGGAGUUUGUUCAUAAGCCUGCAGAAAGCAUAACAGAGAAGGUGAAAACUGAAAAAGUCAGACAGAAGGUGCAGGAACACAGGGAAAGGAGGCUCUUAGAAUCAAAGAUGCUGAAAGUAAAACCCUUAGGAGAGUCUGAUGAUGAAGAAUACAGUGAUGUGGCAGCUUGGGUGCAGAAGAACAGAAAACUACAACAAGAAAAGGAAAAAGCAGAGAAACAGGCAAAAAUGCUGGAAGAGCUUGAUGCUGAGUUUGGAGUUGGAGACUUGGUGGAAGAUGAGAUAAGAAAUGAAAAGCGAGAAGCCUAUACAUCAAAGGAUCUUCAAGGACUUCGUGUUGAACAUGCUGUUGACCGGUUUAUGGAAGAGAGAGAGGUUAUUCUGACACUUAAAGACAAGGAUGUGUUGGAUGAGGAAGACGAUGUUUUAGUGAAUGUGAAUCUCAUGGAUGAGGAACGCUAUGAGAAGAAUGUUGAAAAUAAGAAACUAAAACCAAAUUCGAGAGGCUAUAAUGUUUACGAAGACGAAGGUUUUGAUGAAUUUGGAAAUUAUAGGAGAAAAGAAAUCCUAAGUAAAUAUGACGAGGAAAUCAAGGGUGCAACGAAACAAAGUUUUGCAAUAGGAGAAGAUGUGACUGCAGAAAAACAAAAGCAAGCCUUAGAGGCAGUGCGUAAUCGCCUGCAAAAGAAAAGAGUGGAAUCCCUUGUCCUUCCUGCACCACAGCUUGCAUCGGAGUACUAUACUGCAGAAGAAGUAGAAGUAAAGUUCAAAAAACCCAAAAAGAAGGUUCGAAAAAUUCGCAAGAAGCCUCUGAAAGCAGAGGAGUUAGCUAAUCAGGUACCCAGCACAUGGGACUUCGCUACAAGAUCUAUUAAACGGGAAGAAGGUAGUGAUGCAGAUGAGUGUGUUAUAAAUCCAUUGAAUCAAGUUGUUGUGAAACAAGAACCAGAUGAAGUGAUGGAUGUAGAUGAUCUACCACCUCCUCCUGAAGAUUUGAAUGGACUCAAACUCGAUCAAGAUGAAAGUGAACUUGAGCUUCAUUUAGCUCUGAAAAAGGCAAGGAAACUCAAACUUAAGGAGAUGAGUGAACAAUCAUCAAGUGUUGAGAAGGUUGCCAAAACUAUUCUUGAUGAGGCAGCAGAAGAUGGCUCUGAACAAGGAGGGUCAAUUGUACUCAAUGCAACAGCUGAAUUUUGUAGAACUCUAGGUGAUAUCCCAACAUAUGGCCUUUCAGGAAAUAGGGAUGAGGAUGCUGAAGAACUGCUGGACUUUGAACGAGAAUUGGUGGAAGAGAAGAACAAACAAGAUGAAGAAGGCAAAAGAGGGGCUUGGAAUGAAGUAGAAAUUGAUGAAAGACCAGUUGAUGUCCUACCAGCAGAAGUUCCCAUUCUAGAUGCAGAACCUGAUGUUGGAGUUGGAGUAGCAGGAGCUCUGCGCUUAGCAGUCAGCAAGGGUUAUCUUGAGAAGGAAGAUAUGAACAAACCGUCAGCUUCUCGUUUUGCUCAUUUGCAGGCGCAGAAUUACUCUAUUGAGGACAAAACCCAUAUAGAUGAUGAUAAGUUUGGGCGACGUGAACGGUAUAAUGGGCCAACUUCAGAGUUUAAAGAAAAGGAUGGAUACAAACCUAAUGUAAAACUUGAUUAUAUUGAUGAUGAUGGUCAUGUUCUGAAUGCCAAAGAAGCAUUCAGGUACCUGUCACAUAAAUUUCAUGGGAAAGGGCCAGGCAAAAACAAAGUAGAGAAACGUAUGAAGAAAAAUGAACAGGAAGGGAAACUGAAGAGCAAAUUCGGAACGUUGCUGCGGAUCAUGAGAUUUCAGUUGCAGCACUGUCUGGGUCUUGUAUGAGUCCCAGUGUAAAAUAGACCACAAAAUUUUCUGUAUGGUUGCCCAUAGGAUGGACAAUUCGUGUGACACUGCACAAGCACUACCUGGGGCAUGUGCCACAUGUUGAUGAAACAAAUGAGCUCAACAGACACACCAUUAGGAACACUGAGUUUACUUCAACAGAAGCAGAAAGAAACUCAGUCAGCAUUUGUUGUCCUCAGUGGAAGCAAACAGGC